Molecule: ribosomal RNA, 245 nt
Filed under: uncultured bacterium
Lineage: Bacteria
Description: partial 16S ribosomal RNA
Rfam family: Bacterial small subunit ribosomal RNA
Source: RNAcentral
CACGUAGGGACCAAGCGUUGUCCGGAUUUAUUGGGCGUAAAGAGCUCGUAGGCGGUUCAGUCAGUCGGGUGUGAAAACUUCGGGCUUAACUCGAAGCAUGCAUCCGAUACUGCUGUGACUUGAGUCCGGUAGGGGAGUGGGGAAUUCCUGGUGUAGCGGUGAAAUGCGCAGAUAUCAGGAGGAACACCGGUGGCGAAGGCGCCACUCUGGGCCGGUACUGACGCUGAGGAGCGAAAGCGUGGGUA